CUGAAUAACUAUGCUGAUCGCACAGUCCACGUACUGGCGACGUAUCUUUCAAAUGUCUGGCUUAUCAACUUUCGACGGUAGUUUACACGGCUACCGUGGUAGUAACGGGUAACGGAGAAUAAGGGUUCGACUCCGGAGAGGGAGCCUGAGAAACGGCUACCACAUCCAAGGAAGGCAGCAGGCACGCAAAUUACCCACUCCCGGCACGGGGAGGUAGUGACGAAAAAUAACGAGACGGUUCUCUAAGAGGCCCGUCAUCGAAAUGGGUACAAUUUAAAUCCUUUAACGAGGAUCUAUUGGAGGGCAAGUCUGGUGCCAGCAGCCGCGGUAAUUCCAGCUCCAAAAGCGUAUAUUAAAGUUGUUGCGGUUAAAAAG
RNAcentral lists this ribosomal RNA (375 nucleotides) under Nematoda sp. RNAcentral's name for it is "SSU rRNA". It matches the Rfam family "Eukaryotic small subunit ribosomal RNA", at positions 252 to 626 of the family's 1831-position model. The record is from RNAcentral. Lineage: Eukaryota; Metazoa; Nematoda.